Molecule: ribosomal RNA, 429 nt
Filed under: Bacteroidota bacterium
Lineage: Bacteria; Pseudomonadati; Bacteroidota
Description: Bacteroidetes bacterium partial 16S ribosomal RNA
Rfam family: Bacterial small subunit ribosomal RNA
Source: RNAcentral
UAGGGAAUCUUCGGCAAUGGGGGGAACCCUGACCGAGCAACGCCGCGUGAGUGAAGAAGGUUUUCGGAUCGUAAAGCUCUGUUGUUAAGGAAGAACGAGUGUGAGAAUGGAAAGUUCAUACUGUGACGGUACUUAACCAGAAAGGGACGGCUAACUACGUGCCAGCAGCCGCGGUAAUACGUAGGUCCCGAGCGUUGUCCGGAAUCACUGGGCGUAAAGGGUUCGCAGGCGGAAAUGCAAGUCAGGUGUAAAAGGCAGUAGCUUAACUACUGUAAGCAUUUGAAACUGCAUAUCUUGAGAAGAGUAGAGGUAAGUGGAAUUUUUAGUGUAGCGGUGAAAUGCGUAGAUAUUAAAAAGAAUACCGGUGGCGAAGGCGACUUACUGGGCUCAUUCUGACGCUGAGGAACGAAAGCGUGGGUAGCAAACAGG